CCGGCUCGGCAGGCGCCGGUUCGGAUGCUGCCGACCGGGAGAGCCCCGCUGCGCCGCCCGUGAGGCGCCGCCCGGCCCAGCCUGCCCCCGCCCUUCCCGGGAGGACCGGAGCGCCCGGGGGCCUCUCGCUCCCCCGCCCUGUCAGAUAUCUAUCAGUUCCAGAACUAAUAUUUGCUACAGCCAGAGACUGAAAUGGUAUGACUGGAGCUUUAAAUAAUUUGGCUUUGACAGCUCCAUCGUUUUCUGAGAACUUGGAACUGAAUUUGGGCUCUGCUUCUGCACUAUCCUAGGUUAUAAUGCCAUCCUUGCCUAAUGAGGGAGAUAACCAUGGAACUACUCCUCUGACCUUGAGUUCGGAACUACCCUAUCAAAGCACAAUUAAAAGGAAAGUCAGAAAGAAGAAGAAGAACGGAGUGAUCACUGCAAAUGUUGCUGGCACAAAAUAUGAAAUUGUACGUGUAGUAAUACGAGAAAUGGGAUUUGUGAAAACACGCGAUGAAGAUGAAACAGCUAAUCUUAUAUGGAGUGACUCUGCUGUGCAACAAGAAAAGAUUGCUGAACUUCAGAACUAUCAGAGAAUCAACCAUUUUCCAGGAAUGGGAGAGAUCUGCAGAAAGGAUUUUCUGGCAAGAAACAUGACCAAAAUGAUCAAGAGUCAACCUCAAGAGUAUAGUUUUAUUCCUCGAACAUGGAUCUUCCCUGCAGAAUACACACAGUUUCAGAACUAUGUAAAAGAACUGAAGAAGAAACGUAGACAGAAAACUUUCAUAGUAAAACCAGCUAAUGGUGCAAUGGGACAUGGGAUCUCUUUAAUAAGAAAUGGAGAAAAGUUACAAGCUCAGGAUCACUUGAUUGUUCAGGAAUAUCUUGACAAACCAUUUCUUAUGGAAGGCUACAAGUUUGAUUUACGUGUGUAUAUUCUUGUAACCUCUUGUGAUCCAUUAAAAGUAUUUUUAUAUCAUGAUGGACUGGUGAGAAUGGGCACAGAAAAGUAUCAUCCCCCCAGUGAUUCAAAUUUGAGUCAAUUGUAUAUGCAUCUGACUAACUACUCUGUCAAUAAACAUAAUGAACACUUUGAACGGGAUGAAACAGAAGACAAAGGCAGCAAACGCUCCAUAAAAUGGUUUACUGAGUUUCUAGAAACAAACAAUCUUGAUGUCUCGAAAUUCUGGAGUGAUAUUUCAGAGUUAGUAGUGAAGACUCUCAUAGUUGCAGAGCCACAUGUUCUUCAUGCUUAUCGCAUGUGCAGGCCAGGGCAAGCACCUGGAAGUGACAGUGUCUGCUUUGAAGUCCUGGGAUUUGAUAUUCUGCUGGACAGAAAACUAAAACCAUGGCUCCUAGAGAUUAAUCGUGCCCCAAGCUUUGGAACUGAUCAAAAAAUAGACUAUGAUGUUAAAAAAGGUGUUCUGCUAAAUGCAUUAAAGCUUCUCAACAUACGGACAAGUGAUAAAAGGAGAAAUUUAGCUCAACAGAAGGCUGAAGCUCAAAAAAGACUCUAUGGUCAAGGUUCAAUGAAAAAACUGUUGCCAGGUUCUUCAGAGUGGGAGAAGCAGCGCCACACACUGGAAAGGAGAAAAGAAGAACUGAAGGAAAGACUUGCACAAGUACGUAAACAGAUUUCCAAAGAGGAGCAUGAAAACAGACACAUGGGUAACUACAGGCGAAUAUACCCUCCUGAUGAUAAGACAUUACUUGAAAAGUACGAGAGUUUGUUAGCCACUGCUUUUCAGACGUUUCUUGCUGGGAGAGCAGCUUCACUUCAGCGGGAAAUGAAUAACCCUUUAAAAAGAAUGAAGGAGGAGGACAUUUUGGAUCUUCUGGAGCAGUGUGAAAUAGAUGAUGAAAAACUAAUGGGGAAGUGCACCAGGCAGCGAGGACCUAAGCCCUUAUGUUCGAUGCCAGAAAUUGCACAGCCCUCAAGAAAAUUUAAGAACUACAGUAGUGAUAGUAGCUGCGAGAGCGAUAGCAGUGUGUCAGAAUCAGGCGAAGAAACUGAAAAGGAAGAUCACAAUGGAAAAAAAGAGAAAAAAGUUUCAUAUGAUCUUGAAGAAAAUAAAUGCAAAUCUUUGGAACGAUCAGGUAGAAUGAACUGGAAAUCUUCGAUUAAAAAUAUAAAAUCUCCAUCAUAUUCACCCCCCGCAUCAUCCACAGGUCCAAUAAGGCGUUCUGUAAGCUGCCCUCGUUCAAUAUCAGUAUUGACUAUGCAGUCACAGGCAGCUGAGCAGCGUCCCUUUUCAGCCAAAGCAUCUCUGCAACUUCAGCGUGCAUCCUCAGUGAACAGGUCUCAUUCUUUAAAUCGCAGCCCAUCUUCAGCUCGAGUCUCUCAGACACCCAGCUCGGGAGCUAUGAACUCUUCGGGGUCAGCAAAUAGAAUUGGAAAGACAUUAAGAUUGUGUCUUCACCACAACGUGUUAAAGAGUGAGUCUUUGCUGCAACAGAAAACAAAAGAGCAAGAAGUCGCUUUGACGAAAGAGACUCUUCUCAUCAUCAAUGACAUGAGAAUGAAGUUCCCAGGAAAAACAGAUGAAGAAUCAGAAUUAAUUAUAGAAGAUAUUAUGGAUAAUUGGAAGUAUCAUAAGACAAAAGUGGCAUCCUAUUGGUUGGUAAAACUGGAUUCUGUAAAGCAACGAAAAGUUUUGGAUAUAGUCAAGACAAGUGUUCGUGCAGUUCUACAGCAUGUCUGGAAGGCUCCAGACAUUGAAAAUUUACAUUUAUACCGUCUCUUUAACCGUGUAUUUAAUCGCUUACUUUGGAGCCAUGGUCAAGGUCUAUGGAACUGUUUCUGUAAUUCAGGGAGCUCUUGGGAAACCAUAUUCAGUAAAAGCACAGAGGUGGUGACUCCUGAGCAACUCCAGUGUUGCCAACGAGUAGUACAACUUUGUAAACACUGCCUGCUGGUGGUUUAUAAAUAUUCAUCAGACUCAAGAGGAUCCCCAACUGGGAUUAGCACCCACUGGGAUGAUACGAGAUCCCUCAAAGUCACUGAUACCAGAUUUGCAUUCUUAGAGGUAUCCUAACAUGUUUGAUACUUCUGGCUUCACAUUGGCAGUGGAAUGCUAUAGGGGCACAGCUCCAGCCAAGGGUCAGGUAUUUAUUGCCAGGACCUUCACCGUUCAUCAUGAAACCAUCCUCAUCCAGCCUUAGCUGCAGUUCAUCUGGAAUGCCUCGUCCUAACAUUUUGUUCACACACAGAUAUAGUCACUUGUGAAGCAAAAUAAAAGUUGCUGUUCUUUGUAAAUAAUGGCACUCAUUUUUUUUCCAAAUUAAAAUUUGUGAUGGAGCUAAAUAUAAGCACUGUUAUAUAUUUACUACCAUAUUAUGAUAACAUUUAGCUGAAAACCUACUGUAAAAGCAUAGCUUUUCUGGAAACAUAAUAAACCUUGUUAAGUUGUUUACACACACAGGUGAAUGUGUAGAUCUUGCUAGGUUUAUAAGUAAUUCCUUCUUACUAGAAAUGUUAUUUUUGCUGCAGAAUAUGUAAAAUGGAAUUGAUCUUGAAGAUCUUAUUACAGUGUUACAUUAUUUUGUAAGUACAAUACUUUGAAUAUUAUUUAUUGUAAAGUAUACUAUUUAUUGUCUGAAAUGUAAUUGAUCCUUUAACAAGGCAGAUGAUUUAAAAAACUGUAGUAGAACAGUAAAACUGUAACAGUCAUUGAAAAUAAUCUGAUCAUUUCUUGGACAUGUUUAAAAUAAUCCCCAAAACUCUUUAAGCCAAGCCAAGCCUAGAGCAGACAUCUCCUCUGAAAUUGAAAGAUCUUUAAUGCUGCUAUUUCUCUUGGAGGACAUGGUAUAGUAUCUUUUAGCCAAAGUGAAGGCAUGUGGUACACAAACAGUAAAAACAUCAGUUUAGGCAUUCCAUUUCUAAUUGGAUUCUUGUAAUAAAAUGGAAGCCGAUGUUUGUCACGAGAUUUUCAUUCAUGUUACCUAUGGCCUGUGCCUUUAGGUUUCCUUUGGGAGCAAGCAGUCAUCUCCAACUCGCACAAGCAUACAAAGUGCAUAGUUUUUCUGUUUUACUGCACAAGUGGUAAAGCAGACAUUUUUAGGAAAUACUGCAGCUACAAUGUAUUAUUUCAACCUUAAACUAAUUGGUUCAUUGUAGUUUUUAGCAUACAAUCUAGCACCUACUGUAGAAUGUAUCCUUGCAAUGGACAGUAUUUUCUAGACUGCUGACACCUUUAAAUGUUGGAAAUUUAAUUAAUCAGAAAGCUCUCAUUCAGAUUCAGCUUCCUGGGCCUGGCUGAACAACACAAAAAGGAAACAAGCCAGAGCAGAAACCUGGAAUUAACCUGAAAACAUCAUUCAGGCUUUGCAACCCAUUCAUCCCACUCAGCAUUUUGCCAUGUGAGCCUUAUUCAUUAUAGAAACAAUUAUUAAAAUUAAAAUCAGUUAAUCUAGAUUUAAAAAUGAAGUAAGUUUUUUAACUGAGUAAAGGACAGAGUAGUUAUUAUUUACCAAAGACUUGUUUACUUACCCGUCAUGUAACCAGGAAAAGUGUUUGUAAAUUACCAGUAUAUUUCAGGUAUACUUAAAAAAAUAAUCUGAGGGCUAAUUAUCCUCAGGAGCAAGUAUGUUAGAGGUUUUUGAUAUCCAGAGAUUUAAGAAAAAUUUAAGAGAUGUAAGAAAUUUGAGAAUGAAGUUGUCUGGAAAUUAUUUUUUUUUUUUUUAAUUUUAGUCAUAGUAUAUAUAAAGCUGGGAAUUUUGGUGAGAUUUUUUUGAUGCCUGUGCUGUAGUGCCUCAGCUCUAGAACUGCAGGAUAUAUGAUAACGAGACUAUUUGUAAAAAAUUGAAAAAACUUCUUGAGAUUAGCCAGAUAUAAGCUGUCUUCUGGUCUGGUAAAGUCUUUUUCAUUUUUGUGGUAAUACUAGUUCAGUAAUAUAGUAUAUUCACAUUAAUUGUAUACCUCUUUUGAUCCACACAGCAACUACUGAUAAAGCAUACUACGGUUAUCUGUAAGACCUAAUAAAAGCUGUAAAUUCUCUCUACCUGGGGGAGGCUUCCAUUGCAUUCUGCUUUUGGCCAUAAGGUUAACACCAGCUUCCAGCUUAGCUUGCCAGAGUUUAGGAUAAGUACGUUCACAUGCCUUUUUUUUUUUUUCUUACCCUUUCCUUCUUCUUUUAACUACGUUAUGAUCUCUGUUCUCAGAAGCCAGUGCUGGGACAGGUCAAUCUGUAUAGAAUACUCCGCCAGCAAAACGAGGGCUGCUAACUGUACCUAUGUGGUGUGGACAGAUCUAGGAGAAAAAUACAUUUAGCAUGUACAAAAGUGGACCAGAUAGUUGGUUUACAUCUGAAGCUACUUAAUAUAUUCAUAUUUCUGAUAACCUUUCCUAAAGUGCUACUGUAUUCCUAAUAAUGUGUGAAUCAAUACUUUCAAUAAACGUGAUGCUGCACUUUCCUGCCAGCUCCUCUGAA
RNA transcript from Calidris pugnax (ruff), 5411 nucleotides. It is a transcript of the gene named tubulin tyrosine ligase like 7, with no coding region annotated. The transcript has 23 exons. The record is from RefSeq and is a predicted model, not a curated record. NCBI's taxonomy places the organism in Eukaryota, Metazoa, Chordata, Aves, Charadriiformes, Scolopacidae.